Long non-coding RNA from Triticum aestivum (bread wheat), 1808 nucleotides. RefSeq lists it as uncharacterized. The record is from RefSeq and is a predicted model, not a curated record. The transcript is spliced from 3 exons. Lineage: Eukaryota; Viridiplantae; Streptophyta; Magnoliopsida; Poales; Poaceae.
UUGGGUCGGCCCCGCAUAGAACACACGAGAGCUGACGGAGUUAGACCACUGGGACAGAGCGGAAAGGGGCACUGAAUUGAGGCGGGUGCGUCCUGGGAGGAUACGGAAGCGGCCACCGCCGUGGCUGCCGAAGAGGUUUUCCCGGUAGAUUAGGUUGCCCAUCUUUCCCGACGGCGGCGUGGCGUCGGGUGGGUCCGUCCAGGAUGAGAUUAGCGAGGGUCCGGCUGGCGCCGUGCUGGGGUACCUGGUUCUUCUGUUGUUGGUCAAGAUAACUGCGGCCAGCCAUCGGGAGAAGGUAGAAUCGAUAGCGCUCCAGCGGAGUCCGACGAGUCAGCAAUAAAGCCUGAUCCGAAGGCAGCCGACUGGAUAAGAAGUGGUGCAGGGUCCGUGUGGGCGCAAAUCCUAUAGAGCGAACACCAUGCCCAGGAAGGAUGGGGGUGCUAGAGAAGACAAUCAGGGGUUUUGCAGACAGAGACAGAGAGGAGGUUGUGAAGCUAGAAUUGGGUACAUCCUUCGACUCGUUGACAGAGGCUUAUGAUUUUUACAAUUUAUAUUCGUGGGAGCAUGGUUUUGGGAUUAGAUAUGGGAAAAGUCGGCUGAAUCCAGACAAAAGGAAGACCAUACAGGAGAUCGUCUGUGGAUGCUCGGUACAAGCACUAGCCAUUAUGUGAUCUUCUGUGGGUAGAAUUAAUAUGCUUUUCCGCUAAAGGAUGAACUGGUCUGUUUUUUUAAAUGAUGUGGAACAGGGGAAGCCCUUGCAGGAGAACACACGAUCCUGUAGGUGUGAGUGUCCGGCAAUGAUUAGGCUUUUGUGGGCAUCCGAUCAGGUAGAAAAAGAUGCAUUGUACAAAGGGACACAUACUAGGCCUGAUAAAUGGGAGAAAUGGAGAAGAGUUGUUUUCCUGGUGAGAAUGCAUGACAAUGGUGAACACUUUGAGUGCGAGUGUGGGCUGUCUGUACACAUGCCCAUGUACUCAAGGUUGUUGACUAUACUUUGCAUUUCAGAUCAGAUCACAAAGCCGAUGUUUGUAAAAACCCCAAUUUGUUGACAAAAAUAUUCAUGCGUUCCAGGUGAUGGAUUAUCCUGGGAUUACUGAGAUACCAAAAAAAGCAUAUAGUAAAAAGAUGGACAAAAGAGGCUCGUGACAUACUACCAGAACACCUGCAACACUACCAGCGAGAUAACAUUGGUGCGACCACAUUGACAUUCAGGCAUAACCGAAUGUAUGUUCAGGCGCUGGAGUUGGUGAGGCUGGGGGAUGCUAGUGUGAAAGCUUACGAAACUCUGAUGGCUCUGUUCAAUCAAGCACUGGUCCUGAUGGGACCAAUUGAUAUGGCGAGAGAUGGCCUAGGACUCGAAGAUCGCAUGAACAACAAUGGUCAGCGAAAUGGAGACGAGGUUAAGUUCAGUGCAUUGAAGAUCAGGAAGACAUGAUUUCUAGGCACAACAGUUCGCUUGUCGAGUUGGCGCCUCCCAGUAAGAAGAGGAAGGAAGGGAGGCUGACGAACAGUAGAGACAAAGCUCCGUACGAGGGGAUGACAAAGAGGAGUCGGUUCUGCAGCAUCUGCAAGACUAAGGGGCACAAGCGCACGACUUGCCCGCAACGAGGUGAUGCCCCAAAAAUGCCUAGAAAAGAAGCAAAGUGCAGCAACUGCGACGUCAUCGGGCAUAGGAAGAACACAUGCGGCAGAGCUGCUGGCCAAGGUGCUGAUGGUGAUGUGGUGUAGAUUUAACCCAGAAUUUCUGUUGUAACAAAACUUGUAAAAAUGUUGCUUUGUGUUCCUAGCCAACAAGCUGGCCAGCUCGC